ACUGUAUUUUCUGUACUUACGACC
Molecule: non-coding RNA, 24 nt
Filed under: Cricetulus griseus (Chinese hamster)
Lineage: Eukaryota; Metazoa; Chordata; Mammalia; Rodentia; Cricetidae
Source: RNAcentral